AGGAAAGCAGGGGAUCGCAAGACCUUGCGCUCUUGGAGCGGCCGAUGUCUGAUUAGCUAGUUGGUGAGGUAAAGGCUUACCAAGGCGACGAUCAGUAGCUGGUCUGAGAGGACGACCAGCCACACUGGGACUGAGACACGGCCCAGACUCCUACGGGAGGCAGCAGUGGGGAAUUUUGGACAAUGGGGGAAACCCUGAUCCAGCCAUGCCGCGUGAGUGAAGAAGGCCUUCGGGUUGUAAAGCUCUUUCAGCCGGAACGAAACGGUCACGGCUAAUACCUGUGAUCACUGACGGUACCGGAAGAAGAAGCACCGGCUAACUACGUGCCAGCAGCCGCGGUAAUACGUAGGGUGCAAGCGUUAAUCGGAAUUACUGGGCGUAAAGCGUGCGCAGGCGGUUCUGUAAGUCAGAUGUGAAAUCCCCGGGCUUAACCUGGGAACUGCGUUUGAAACUACAAAGCU
RNAcentral lists this ribosomal RNA (461 nucleotides) under uncultured beta proteobacterium. Its description in RNAcentral is "bacterial SSU rRNA". It matches the Rfam family "Bacterial small subunit ribosomal RNA", at positions 200 to 642 of the family's 1533-position model. Lineage: Bacteria; Pseudomonadati; Pseudomonadota; Betaproteobacteria. The record is from RNAcentral.